UCUGUCUGUGUGUAAAUAGGCACAUAUGCAAUUAAUUGUAAGUGAAACAUAAUUCAGGGCUUCUGACAAGUGAAAUUUAGUCCUGCAUGUCCAAAAAGAGUCCCAAAAUAGUGUGUGCCAAGUGUGUCCACCUGCAUGAAUAAAUGCAUAUAUCCAAACACAAAUUUAAUCUAGUGAAUAAUCCACCAAAUUAUGCCAUACAACUCCAAUUUUGUCCAUAAAAGUCUGAAAAUAGUGCGCGAUCAAUUAUUCCACAAUUUUAGAGGAACCAAUUUAAAGGCCUAACAUUCCGACAAAAAGUGUAGAACAAUAAAUCAAGACCAAAAAUCCCAUUUAAAUUUGAGAAAAUCCGGGGUAAGUCUCGUACUAAACUUCUGCCAAAUAACCCCAAAUGAUUUGCCCAGAGGAGUCUCAAAAUGGCGUGCACAUAGCAAUUUCACCACUAGCGCCACGUAUACAUGCACAAACUUGCAGCUGCAGACAAUUUUGGCGACGACCAUUAUGGCGCCCGGUCAGACUGACGCGCAAUAUACCCAGAACAUUCCUUUUGGUCGGCAUUGCCAGGCCUAAAUUCUAACCUAAAUAAUAAUAUACUACAAUGAAUACUUGAAUGUUAUAUAAAACUUAUUAUACGCCUAUAUCUAUCCUUAAAUAAUAAUCUUAUAACCUUCUUGCAAAUUACGAAAUCUUAGUAGCGCGGUUAAAUUUGUGCGCAAAACUUUUUUGAAUUCAUGAAUGUCCGUUCUAAAAUGUAAAUACAUACAUGCAUACGUGCCGCUGCAUAUGCUUGGAAUUUUGAUGGCCAUUAUACCGACGCCAACCCAAGCUGGCACAUAUGCACAUACAUAUAUGUUCAUAAGCCUGUCGGCAACUGCCAAGAAUAUAAAAACACAAUUGCAAAUAAUCGAAUUUAACCAAUUGACAAGCCUCUACAGACAAUAUGUAUCAACAUUCAAAUUGCUAGCGAAUUAUAUAUUGUACACAUAUGAACACACUGGUCUGCUGGGUGGUUGCCCACCCAAAUUUGUUAGUGUAAAAAUUGGUAGAAAUCGUUCAGCUGGCACUUAUACAUAUACAUAUCCAAAUUUUCCCAACAAUUGUGACUGACACUGCUAAACUGAGCAUAAUUUUCCUGACUCUUUACCAAUUUAAAAUACAAUACACAAUCCAUAUUUUUGCUUGAUAACAUUUUGCUAGGUGAUCGUCGAUAUAUCGAUACAGUGACAGGCGUACUGACCUCAAACGAUAGUUUUCUCUCUGCCGCCACUAGGCGAUAGUCUCGAAAUUGUCAUAAGCUGCGAGUUGUCUCUAUAAAAUGGUCGUGAGUUUAAAAUUGGCGGAAAUUGAAAAAGUCAUCGAGCAAGUUGAAACUUAUUAAAACACUAAUAGUGGAAGCAUUUACUGCUGAUAUAAACCUAAAAGCGUGUUAAAUAAUCAAAUUAAGGUAUUCUAUGCAAAUUCCUCAAAAUAGUGCGUGAAAAAUUAUUUCACAAUAAUGAAAAUCAAAUGGUGGCUGCCUGCAAAAAUAAAUUCAUAAAUACAUAUAUAGUGAUCACUCAACCAAACUACGCCAUAUAGUUAAGAAAUCUGGAUCAAAAAAUUCCUCAAAUUAGUGUGUGAAUAAUUAUUUUGCAAUUAACAAAAUAACCGGUGUCCGUCUGUGAAUUGACAAGCAACAAAUUGAAGGCCUAAUUACCACCAAAAGUGAAAGACAUAUAAUAAAGACCAAAGUCCCAUUCAAAUCUGAGAAUAACUGGGGUAAGGCUCAAACCAAAAAAUUUUUACAUAUAUAACCCCAAAUUUGCCCAGUUGAGUCUCGAAAUGGAGCGCGCAUAAUAAUUUCAUCACAAGCGUCACCUAUACAUGCACAAACUUGCAGCUGCAGACAAUUUUGGCGACGGCCACAGCGGCGCCCUGCCAGACUGACGCACACACACACACACAAAUUUUCUAAGAAAUUUUCUACCCAACAUUGCCAGGCCUAAAAACCACAUACGGACAGAACUAUAUUCUACGCUAGCAUCUAUUAUUUACACUUUCUUAUUUUUUGCUAACUUUAAACAUUUUUGCAAAUUUAAAACAUACAAUUAAACAUUACUGCCAAGCGAUCAUCGAUACAUCGAUACAUAUACGCGCGCACUGAUCUCAAUACUAUACCUUCCACUUUGCCGUCACUAAGUGAUAUUCUUGAAAUUGUCAUGAGCUGCGAGUUGUGUACUACGAUAUGGUUGCGAAUGUGAAACUGUUCAAACUUAUAAAUACCCUAAUAGUGAAAAGCAUUUAAUGCUUAUAAGGAACUAAAGUACGAAUUAAACAAAUUUAGUGAAUUUCAAUCAAGUGUAAGUCUUUGAAACUAACAGUGCCUAUAAAAGCCCCAAAUAGCCGGUGUCUGUCUGUGUGUAAAUAGGCACAUAUGCAAUUAAUUGUAAGUGAAACAUAAUUCAGGGCUUCUGACAAGUGAAAUUUAGUCCUGCAUGUCCAAAAAGAGUCCCAAAAUAGUGUGUGCCAAGUGUGUCCACCUGCAUGAAUAAAUGCAUAUAUCCAAACACAAAUUUAAUCUAGUGAAUAAUCCACCAAAUUAUGCCAUACAACUCCAAUUUUGUCCAUAAAAGUCUGAAAAUAGUGCGCGAUCAAUUAUUCCACAAUUUUAGAGGAACCAAUUUAAAGGCCUAACAUUCCGACAAAAAGUGUAGAACAAUAAAUCAAGACCAAAAAUCCCAUUUAAAUUUGAGAAAAUCCGGGGUAAGUCUCGUACUAAACUUCUGCCAAAUAACCCCAAAUGAUUUGCCCAGAGGAGUCUCAAAAUGGCGUGCACAUAGCAAUUUCACCACUAGCGCCACGUAUACAUGCACAAACUUGCAGCUGCAGACAAUUUUGGCGACGACCAUUAUGGCGCCCGGUCAGACUGACGCGCAAUAUACCCAGAACAUUCCUUUUGGUCGGCAUUGCCAGGCCUAAAUUCUAACCUAAAUAAUAAUAUACUACAAUGAAUACUUGAAUGUUAUAUAAAACUUAUUAUACGCCUAUAUCUAUCCUUAAAUAAUAAUCUUAUAACCUUCUUGCAAAUUACGAAAUCUUAGUAGCGCGGUUAAAUUUGUGCGCAAAACUUUUUUGAAUUCAUGAAUGUCCGUUCUAAAAUGUAAAUACAUACAUGCAUACGUGCCGCUGCAUAUGCUUGGAAUUUUGAUGGCCAUUAUACCGACGCCAACCCAAGCUGGCACAUAUGCACAUACAUAUAUGUUCAUAAGCCUGUCGGCAACUGCCAAGAAUAUAAAAACACAAUUGCAAAUAAUCGAAUUUAACCAAUUGACAAGCCUCUACAGACAAUAUGUAUCAACAUUCAAAUUGCUAGCGAAUUAUAUAUUGUACACAUAUGAACACACUGGUCUGCUGGGUGGUUGCCCACCCAAAUUUGUUAGUGUAAAAAUUGGUAGAAAUCGUUCAGCUGGCACUUAUACAUAUACAUAUCCAAAUUUUCCCAACAAUUGUGACUGACACUGCUAAACUGAGCAUAAUUUUCCUGACUCUUUACCAAUUUAAAAUACAAUACACAAUCCAUAUUUUUGCUUGAUAACAUUUUGCUAGGUGAUCGUCGAUAUAUCGAUACAGUGACAGGCGUACUGACCUCAAACGAUAGUUUUCUCUCUGCCGCCACUAGGCGAUAGUCUCGAAAUUGUCAUAAGCUGCGAGUUGUCUCUAUAAAAUGGUCGUGAGUUUAAAAUUGGCGGAAAUUGAAAAAGUCAUCGAGCAAGUUGAAACUUAUUAAAACACUAAUAGUGGAAGCAUUUACUGCUGAUAUAAACCUAAAAGCGUGUUAAAUAAUCAAAUUAAGGUAUUCUAUGCAAAUUCCUCAAAAUAGUGCGUGAAAAAUUAUUUCACAAUAAUGAAAAUCAAAUGGUGGCUGCCUGCAAAAAUAAAUUCAUAAAUACAUAUAUAGUGAUCACUCAACCAAACUACGCCAUAUAGUUAAGAAAUCUGGAUCAAAAAAUUCCUCAAAUUAGUGUGUGAAUAAUUAUUUUGCAAUUAACAAAAUAACCGGUGUCCGUCUGUGAAUUGACAAGCAACAAAUUGAAGGCCUAAUUACCACCAAAAGUGAAAGACAUAUAAUAAAGACCAAAGUCCCAUUCAAAUCUGAGAAUAACUGGGGUAAGGCUCAAACCAAAAAAUUUUUACAUAUAUAACCCCAAAUUUGCCCAGUUGAGUCUCGAAAUGGAGCGCGCAUAAUAAUUUCAUCACAAGCGUCACCUAUACAUGCACAAACUUGCAGCUGCAGACAAUUUUGGCGACGGCCACAGCGGCGCCCUGCCAGACUGACGCACACACACACACACAAAUUUUCUAAGAAAUUUUCUACCCAACAUUGCCAGGCCUAAAAACCACAUACGGACAGAACUAUAUUCUACGCUAGCAUUUAUUAUUUACACUUUCUUAUUUUUUGCUAACUUUAAACAUUUUUGCAAAUUUAAAACAUACAAUUAAACAUUACUGCCAAGCGAUCAUCGAUACAUCGAUACAUAUACGCGCGCACUGAUCUCAAUACUAUACCUUCCACUUUGCCGUCACUAAGUGAUAUUCUUGAAAUUGUCAUGAGCUGCGAGUUGUGUACUACGAUACGGUUGCGAAUGUGAAACUGUUCAAACUUAUAAAUACCCUAAUAGUGAAAAGCAUUUAAUGCUUAUAAGGAACUAAAGUACGAAUUAAACAAAUUUAGUGAAUUUCAAUCAAGUGUAAGUCUUUGAAACUAACAGUGCCCAUAAAAGCCCCAAAUAGCCGGUGUCUGUCUGUGUGUAAAUAGGCACAUAUGCAAUUAAUUGUAAGUGAAACAUAAUUCAGGGCUUCUGACAAGUGAAAUUUAGUCCUGCAUGUCCAAAAAGAGUCCCAAAAUAGUGUGUGCCAAGUGUGUCCACCUGCAUGAAUAAAUGCAUAUAUCCAAACACAAAUUUAAUCUAGUGAAUAAUCCACCAAAUUAUGCCAUACAACUCCAAUUUUGUCCAUAAAAGUCUGAAAAUAGUGCGCGAUCAAUUAUUCCACAAUUUUAGAGGAACCAAUUUAAAGGCCUAACAUUCCGACAAAAAGUGUAGAACAAUAAAUCAAGACCAAAAAUCCCAUUUAAAUUUGAGAAAAUCCGGGGUAAGUCUCGUACUAAACUUCUGCCAAAUAACCCCAAAUGAUUUGCCCAGAGGAGUCUCAAAAUGGCGUGCACAUAGCAAUUUCACCACUAGCGCCACGUAUACAUGCACAAACUUGCAGCUGCAGACAAUUUUGGCGACGACCAUUAUGGCGCCCGGUCAGACUGACGCGCAAUAUACCCAGAACAUUCCUUUUGGUCGGCAUUGCCAGGCCUAAAUUCUAACCUAAAUAAUAAUAUACUACAAUGAAUACUUGAAUGUUAUAUAAAACUUAUUAUACGCCUAUAUCUAUCCUUAAAUAAUAAUCUUAUAACCUUCUUGCAAAUUACGAAAUCUCAGUAGCGCGGUUAAAUUUGUGCGCAAAACUUUUUUGAAUUCAUGAAUGUCCGUUCUAAAAUGUAAAUACAUACAUGCAUACGUGCCGCUGCAUAUGCUUGGAAUUUUGAUGGCCAUUAUACCGACGCCAACCCAAGCUGGCACAUAUGCACAUACAUAUAUGUUCAUAAGCCUGUCGGCAACUGCCAAGAAUAUAAAAACACAAUUGCAAAUAAUCGAAUUUAACCAAUUGACAAGCCUCUACAGACAAUAUGUAUCAACAUUCAAAUUGCUAGCGAAUUAUAUAUUGUACACAUAUGAACACACUGGUCUGCUGGGUGGUUGCCCACCCAAAUUUGUUAGUGUAAAAAUUGGUAGAAAUCGUUCAGCUGGCACUUAUACAUAUACAUAUCCAAAUUUUCCCAACAAUUGUGACUGACACUGCUAAACUGAGCAUAAUUUUCCUGACUCUUUACCAAUUUAAAAUACAAUACACAAUCCAUAUUUUUGCUUGAUAACAUUUUGCUAGGUGAUCGUCGAUAUAUCGAUACAGUGACAGGCGUACUGACCUCAAACGAUAGUUUUCUCUCUGCCGCCACUAGGCGAUAGUCUCGAAAUUGUCAUAAGCUGCGAGUUGUCUCUAUAAAAUGGUCGUGAGUUUAAAAUUGGCGGAAAUUGAAAAAGUCAUCGAGCAAGUUGAAACUUAUUAAAACACUAAUAGUGGAAGCAUUUACUGCUGAUAUAAACCUAAAAGCGUGUUAAAUAAUCAAAUUAAGGUAUUCUAUGCAAAUUCCUCAAAAUAGUGCGUGAAAAAUUAUUUCACAAUAAUGAAAAUCAAAUGGUGGCUGCCUGCAAAAAUAAAUUCAUAAAUACAUAUAUAGUGAUCACUCAACCAAACUACGCCAUAUAGUUAAGAAAUCUGGAUCAAAAAAUUCCUCAAAUUAGUGUGUGAAUAAUUAUUUUGCAAUUAACAAAAUAACCGGUGUCCGUCUGUGAAUUGACAAGCAACAAAUUGAAGGCCUAAUUACCACCAAAAGUGAAAGACAUAUAAUAAAGACCAAAGUCCCAUUCAAAUCUGAGAAUAACUGGGGUAAGGCUCAAACCAAAAAAUUUUUACAUAUAUAACCCCAAAUUUGCCCAGUUGAGUCUCGAAAUGGAGCGCGCAUAAUAAUUUCAUCACAAGCGUCACCUAUACAUGCACAAACUUGCAGCUGCAGACAAUUUUGGCGACGGCCACAGCGGCGCCCUGCCAGACUGACGCACACACACACACACAAAUUUUCUAAGAAAUUUUCUACCCAACAUUGCCAGGCCUAAAAACCACAUACGGACAGAACUAUAUUCUACGCUAGCAUUUAUUAUUUACACUUUCUUAUUUUUUGCUAACUUUAAACAUUUUUGCAAAUUUAAAACAUACAAUUAAACAUUACUGCCAAGCGAUCAUCGAUACAUCGAUACAUAUACGCGCGCACUGAUCUCAAUACUAUACCUUCCACUUUGCCGUCACUAAGUGAUAUUCUUGAAAUUGUCAUGAGCUGCGAGUUGUGUACUACGAUACGGUUGCGAAUGUGAAACUGUUCAAACUUAUAAAUACCCUAAUAGUGAAAAGCAUUUAAUGCUUAUAAGGAACUAAAGUACGAAUUAAACAAAUUUAGUGAAUUUCAAUCAAGUGUAAGUCUUUGAAACUAACAGUGCCCAUAAAAGCCCCAAAUAGCCGGUGUCUGUCUGUGUGUAAAUAGGCACAUAUGCAAUUAAUUGUAAGUGAAACAUAAUUCAGGGCUUCUGACAAGUGAAAUUUAGUCCUGCAUGUCCAAAAAGAGUCCCAAAAUAGUGUGUGCCAAGUGUGUCCACCUGCAUGAAUAAAUGCAUAUAUCCAAACACAAAUUUAAUCUAGUGAAUAAUCCACCAAAUUAUGCCAUACAACUCCAAUUUUGUCCAUAAAAGUCUGAAAAUAGUGCGCGAUCAAUUAUUCCACAAUUUUAGAGGAACCAAUUUAAAGGCCUAACAUUCCGACAAAAAGUGUAGAACAAUAAAUCAAGACCAAAAAUCCCAUUUAAAUUUGAGAAAAUCCGGGGUAAGUCUCGUACUAAACUUCUGCCAAAUAACCCCAAAUGAUUUGCCCAGAGGAGUCUCAAAAUGGCGUGCACAUAGCAAUUUCACCACUAGCGCCACGUAUACAUGCACAAACUUGCAGCUGCAGACAAUUUUGGCGACGACCAUUAUGGCGCCCGGUCAGACUGACGCGCAAUAUACCCAGAACAUUCCUUUUGGUCGGCAUUGCCAGGCCUAAAUUCUAACCUAAAUAAUAAUAUACUACAAUGAAUACUUGAAUGUUAUAUAAAACUUAUUAUACGCCUAUAUCUAUCCUUAAAUAAUAAUCUUAUAACCUUCUUGCAAAUUACGAAAUCUCAGUAGCGCGGUUAAAUUUGUGCGCAAAACUUUUUUGAAUUCAUGAAUGUCCGUUCUAAAAUGUAAAUACAUACAUGCAUACGUGCCGCUGCAUAUGCUUGGAAUUUUGAUGGCCAUUAUACCGACGCCAACCCAAGCUGGCACAUAUGCACAUACAUAUAUGUUCAUAAGCCUGUCGGCAACUGCCAAGAAUAUAAAAACACAAUUGCAAAUAAUCGAAUUUAACCAAUUGACAAGCCUCUACAGACAAUAUGUAUCAACAUUCAAAUUGCUAGCGAAUUAUAUAUUGUACACAUAUGAACACACUGGUCUGCUGGGUGGUUGCCCACCCAAAUUUGUCAGUGUAAAAAUUGGUAGAAAUCGUUCAGCUGGCACUUAUACAUAUACAUAUCCAAAUUUUCCCAACAAUUGUGACUGACACUGCUAAACUGAGCAUAAUUUUCCUGACUCUUUACCAAUUUAAAAUACAAUACACAAUCCAUAUUUUUGCUUGAUAACAUUUUGCUAGGUGAUCGUCGAUAUAUCGAUACAGUGACAGGCGUACUGACCUCAAACGAUAGUUUUCUCUCUGCCGCCACUAGGCGAUAGUCUCGAAAUUGUCAUAAGCUGCGAGUUGUCUCUAUAAAAUGGUCGUGAGUUUAAAAUUGGCGGAAAUUGAAAAAGUCAUCGAGCAAGUUGAAACUUAUUAAAACACUAAUAGUGGAAGCAUUUACUGCUGAUAUAAACCUAAAAGCGUGUUAAAUAAUCAAAUUAAGGUAUUCUAUGCAAAUUCCUCAAAAUAGUGCGUGAAAAAUUAUUUCACAAUAAUGAAAAUCAAAUGGUGGCUGCCUGCAAAAAUAAAUUCAUAAAUACAUAUAUAGUGAUCACUCAACCAAACUACGCCAUAUAGUUAAGAAAUCUGGAUCAAAAAAUUCCUCAAAUUAGUGUGUGAAUAAUUAUUUUGCAAUUAACAAAAUAACCGGUGUCCGUCUGUGAAUUGACAAGCAACAAAUUGAAGGCCUAAUUACCACCAAAAGUGAAAGACAUAUAAUAAAGACCAAAGUCCCAUUCAAAUCUGAGAAUAACUGGGGUAAGGCUCAAACCAAAAAAUUUUUACAUAUAUAACCCCAAAUUUGCCCAGUUGAGUCUCGAAAUGGAGCGCGCAUAAUAAUUUCAUCACAAGCGUCACCUAUACAUGCACAAACUUGCAGCUGCAGACAAUUUUGGCGACGGCCACAGCGGCGCCCUGCCAGACUGACGCACACACACACACACAAAUUUUCUAAGAAAUUUUCUACCCAACAUUGCCAGGCCUAAAAACCACAUACGGACAGAACUAUAUUCUACGCUAGCAUUUAUUAUUUACACUUUCUUAUUUUUUGCUAACUUUAAACAUUUUUGCAAAUUUAAAACAUACAAUUAAACAUUACUGCCAAGCGAUCAUCGAUACAUCGAUACAUAUACGCGCGCACUGAUCUCAAUACUAUACCUUCCACUUUGCCGUCACUAAGUGAUAUUCUUGAAAUUGUCAUGAGCUGCGAGUUGUGUACUACGAUACGGUUGCGAAUGUGAAACUGUUCAAACUUAUAAAUACCCUAAUAGUGAAAAGCAUUUAAUGCUUAUAAGGAACUAAAGUACGAAUUAAACAAAUUUAGUGAAUUUCAAUCAAGUGUAAGUCUUUGAAACUAACAGUGCCCAUAAAAGCCCCAAAUAGCCGGUGUCUGUCUGUGUGUAAAUAGGCACAUAUGCAAUUAAUUGUAAGUGAAACAUAAUUCAGGGCUUCUGACAAGUGAAAUUUAGUCCUGCAUGUCCAAAAAGAGUCCCAAAAUAGUGUGUGCCAAGUGUGUCCACCUGCAUGAAUAAAUGCAUAUAUCCAAACACAAAUUUAAUCUAGUGAAUAAUCCACCAAAUUAUGCCAUACAACUCCAAUUUUGUCCAUAAAAGUCUGAAAAUAGUGCGCGAUCAAUUAUUCCACAAUUUUAGAGGAACCAAUUUAAAGGCCUAACAUUCCGACAAAAAGUGUAGAACAAUAAAUCAAGACCAAAAAUCCCAUUUAAAUUUGAGAAAAUCCGGGGUAAGUCUCGUACUAAACUUCUGCCAAAUAACCCCAAAUGAUUUGCCCAGAGGAGUCUCAAAAUGGCGUGCACAUAGCAAUUUCACCACUAGCGCCACGUAUACAUGCACAAACUUGCAGCUGCAGACAAUUUUGGCGACGACCAUUAUGGCGCCCGGUCAGACUGACGCGCAAUAUACCCAGAACAUUCCUUUUGGUCGGCAUUGCCAGGCCUAAAUUCUAACCUAAAUAAUAAUAUACUACAAUGAAUACUUGAAUGUUAUAUAAAACUUAUUAUACGCCUAUAUCUAUCCUUAAAUAAUAAUCUUAUAACCUUCUUGCAAAUUACGAAAUCUCAGUAGCGCGGUUAAAUUUGUGCGCAAAACUUUUUUGAAUUCAUGAAUGUCCGUUCUAAAAUGUAAAUACAUACAUGCAUACGUGCCGCUGCAUAUGCUUGGAAUUUUGAUGGCCAUUAUACCGACGCCAACCCAAGCUGGCACAUAUGCACAUACAUAUAUGUUCAUAAGCCUGUCGGCAACUGCCAAGAAUAUAAAAACACAAUUGCAAAUAAUCGAAUUUAACCAAUUGACAAGCCUCUACAGACAAUAUGUAUCAACAUUCAAAUUGCUAGCGAAUUAUAUAUUGUACACAUAUGAACACACUGGUCUGCUGGGUGGUUGCCCACCCAAAUUUGUUAGUGUAAAAAUUGGUAGAAAUCGUUCAGCUGGCACUUAUACAUAUACAUAUCCAAAUUUUCCCAACAAUUGUGACUGACACUGCUAAACUGAGCAUAAUUUUCCUGACUCUUUACCAAUUUAAAAUACAAUACACAAUCCAUAUUUUUGCUUGAUAACAUUUUGCUAGGUGAUCGUCGAUAUAUCGAUACAGUGACAGGCGUACUGACCUCAAACGAUAGUUUUCUCUCUGCCGCCACUAGGCGAUAGUCUCGAAAUUGUCAUAAGCUGCGAGUUGUCUCUAUAAAAUGGUCGUGAGUUUAAAAUUGGCGGAAAUUGAAAAAGUCAUCGAGCAAGUUGAAACUUAUUAAAACACUAAUAGUGGAAGCAUUUACUGCUGAUAUAAACCUAAAAGCGUGUUAAAUAAUCAAAUUAAGGUAUUCUAUGCAAAUUCCUCAAAAUAGUGCGUGAAAAAUUAUUUCACAAUAAUGAAAAUCAAAUGGUGGCUGCCUGCAAAAAUAAAUUCAUAAAUACAUAUAUAGUGAUCACUCAACCAAACUACGCCAUAUAGUUAAGAAAUCUGGAUCAAAAAAUUCCUCAAAUUAGUGUGUGAAUAAUUAUUUUGCAAUUAACAAAAUAACCGGUGUCCGUCUGUGAAUUGACAAGCAACAAAUUGAAGGCCUAAUUACCACCAAAAGUGAAAGACAUAUAAUAAAGACCAAAGUCCCAUUCAAAUCUGAGAAUAACUGGGGUAAGGCUCAAACCAAAAAAUUUUUACAUAUAUAACCCCAAAUUUGCCCAGUUGAGUCUCGAAAUGGAGCGCGCAUAAUAAUUUCAUCACAAGCGUCACCUAUACAUGCACAAACUUGCAGCUGCAGACAAUUUUGGCGACGGCCACAGCGGCGCCCUGCCAGACUGACGCACACACACACACACAAAUUUUCUAAGAAAUUUUCUACCCAACAUUGCCAGGCCUAAAAACCACAUACGGACAGAACUAUAUUCUACGCUAGCAUUUAUUAUUUACACUUUCUUAUUUUUUGCUAACUUUAAACAUUUUUGCAAAUUUAAAACAUACAAUUAAACAUUACUGCCAAGCGAUCAUCGAUACAUCGAUACAUAUACGCGCGCACUGAUCUCAAUACUAUACCUUCCACUUUGCCGUCACUAAGUGAUAUUCUUGAAAUUGUCAUGAGCUGCGAGUUGUGUACUACGAUACGGUUGCGAAUGUGAAACUGUUCAAACUUAUAAAUACCCUAAUAGUGAAAAGCAUUUAAUGCUUAUAAGGAACUAAAGUACGAAUUAAACAAAUUUAGUGAAUUUCAAUCAAGUGUAAGUCUUUGAAACUAACAGUGCCCAUAAAAGCCCCAAAUAGCCGGUGUCUGUCUGUGUGUAAAUAGGCACAUAUGCAAUUAAUUGUAAGUGAAACAUAAUUCAGGGCUUCUGACAAGUGAAAUUUAGUCCUGCAUGUCCAAAAAGAGUCCCAAAAUAGUGUGUGCCAAGUGUGUCCACCUGCAUGAAUAAAUGCAUAUAUCCAAACACAAAUUUAAUCUAGUGAAUAAUCCACCAAAUUAUGCCAUACAACUCCAAUUUUGUCCAUAAAAGUCUGAAAAUAGUGCGCGAUCAAUUAUUCCACAAUUUUAGAGGAACCAAUUUAAAGGCCUAACAUUCCGACAAAAAGUGUAGAACAAUAAAUCAAGACCAAAAAUCCCAUUUAAAUUUGAGAAAAUCCGGGGUAAGUCUCGUACUAAACUUCUGCCAAAUAACCCCAAAUGAUUUGCCCAGAGGAGUCUCAAAAUGGCGUGCACAUAGCAAUUUCACCACUAGCGCCACGUAUACAUGCACAAACUUGCAGCUGCAGACAAUUUUGGCGACGACCAUUAUGGCGCCCGGUCAGACUGACGCGCAAUAUACCCAGAACAUUCCUUUUGGUCGGCAUUGCCAGGCCUAAAUUCUAACCUAAAUAAUAAUAUACUACAAUGAAUACUUGAAUGUUAUAUAAAACUUAUUAUACGCCUAUAUCUAUCCUUAAAUAAUAAUCUUAUAACCUUCUUGCAAAUUACGAAAUCUCAGUAGCGCGGUUAAAUUUGUGCGCAAAACUUUUUUGAAUUCAUGAAUGUCCGUUCUAAAAUGUAAAUACAUACAUGCAUACGUGCCGCUGCAUAUGCUUGGAAUUUUGAUGGCCAUUAUACCGACGCCAACCCAAGCUGGCACAUAUGCACAUACAUAUAUGUUCAUAAGCCUGUCGGCAACUGCCAAGAAUAUAAAAACACAAUUGCAAAUAAUCGAAUUUAACCAAUUGACAAGCCUCUACAGACAAUAUGUAUCAACAUUCAAAUUGCUAGCGAAUUAUAUAUUGUACACAUAUGAACACACUGGUCUGCUGGGUGGUUGCCCACCCAAAUUUGUUAGUGUAAAAAUUGGUAGAAAUCGUUCAGCUGGCACUUAUACAUAUACAUAUCCAAAUUUUCCCAACAAUUGUGACUGACACUGCUAAACUGAGCAUAAUUUUCCUGACUCUUUACCAAUUUAAAAUACAAUACACAAUCCAUAUUUUUGCUUGAUAACAUUUUGCUAGGUGAUCGUCGAUAUAUCGAUACAGUGACAGGCGUACUGACCUCAAACGAUAGUUUUCUCUCUGCCGCCACUAGGCGAUAGUCUCGAAAUUGUCAUAAGCUGCGAGUUGUCUCUAUAAAAUGGUCGUGAGUUUAAAAUUGGCGGAAAUUGAAAAAGUCAUCGAGCAAGUUGAAACUUAUUAAAACACUAAUAGUGGAAGCAUUUACUGCUGAUAUAAACCUAAAAGCGUGUUAAAUAAUCAAAUUAAGGUAUUCUAUGCAAAUUCCUCAAAAUAGUGCGUGAAAAAUUAUUUCACAAUAAUGAAAAUCAAAUGGUGGCUGCCUGCAAAAAUAAAUUCAUAAAUACAUAUAUAGUGAUCACUCAACCAAACUACGCCAUAUAGUUAAGAAAUCUGGAUCAAAAAAUUCCUCAAAUUAGUGUGUGAAUAAUUAUUUUGCAAUUAACAAAAUAACCGGUGUCCGUCUGUGAAUUGACAAGCAACAAAUUGAAGGCCUAAUUACCACCAAAAGUGAAAGACAUAUAAUAAAGACCAAAGUCCCAUUCAAAUCUGAGAAUAACUGGGGUAAGGCUCAAACCAAAAAAUUUUUACAUAUAUAACCCCAAAUUUGCCCAGUUGAGUCUCGAAAUGGAGCGCGCAUAAUAAUUUCAUCACAAGCGUCACCUAUACAUGCACAAACUUGCAGCUGCAGACAAUUUUGGCGACGGCCACAGCGGCGCCCUGCCAGACUGACGCACACACACACACACAAAUUUUCUAAGAAAUUUUCUACCCAACAUUGCCAGGCCUAAAAACCACAUACGGACAGAACUAUAUUCUACGCUAGCAUUUAUUAUUUACACUUUCUUAUUUUUUGCUAACUUUAAACAUUUUUGCAAAUUUAAAACAUACAAUUAAACAUUACUGCCAAGCGAUCAUCGAUACAUCGAUACAUAUACGCGCGCACUGAUCUCAAUACUAUACCUUCCACUUUGCCGUCACUAAGUGAUAUUCUUGAAAUUGUCAUGAGCUGCGAGUUGUGUACUACGAUACGGUUGCGAAUGUGAAACUGUUCAAACUUAUAAAUACCCUAAUAGUGAAAAGCAUUUAAUGCUUAUAAGGAACUAAAGUACGAAUUAAACAAAUUUAGUGAAUUUCAAUCAAGUGUAAGUCUUUGAAACUAACAGUGCCCAUAAAAGCCCCAAAUAGCCGGUGUCUGUCUGUGUGUAAAUAGGCACAUAUGCAAUUAAUUGUAAGUGAAACAUAAUUCAGGGCUUCUGACAAGUGAAAUUUAGUCCUGCAUGUCCAAAAAGAGUCCCAAAAUAGUGUGUGCCAAGUGUGUCCACCUGCAUGAAUAAAUGCAUAUAUCCAAACACAAAUUUAAUCUAGUGAAUAAUCCACCAAAUUAUGCCAUACAACUCCAAUUUUGUCCAUAAAAGUCUGAAAAUAGUGCGCGAUCAAUUAUUCCACAAUUUUAGAGGAACCAAUUUAAAGGCCUAACAUUCCGACAAAAAGUGUAGAACAAUAAAUCAAGACCAAAAAUCCCAUUUAAAUUUGAGAAAAUCCGGGGUAAGUCUCGUACUAAACUUCUGCCAAAUAACCCCAAAUGAUUUGCCCAGAGGAGUCUCAAAAUGGCGUGCACAUAGCAAUUUCACCACUAGCGCCACGUAUACAUGCACAAACUUGCAGCUGCAGACAAUUUUGGCGACGACCAUUAUGGCGCCCGGUCAGACUGACGCGCAAUAUACCCAGAACAUUCCUUUUGGUCGGCAUUGCCAGGCCUAAAUUCUAACCUAAAUAAUAAUAUACUACAAUGAAUACUUGAAUGUUAUAUAAAACUUAUUAUACGCCUAUAUCUAUCCUUAAAUAAUAAUCUUAUAACCUUCUUGCAAAUUACGAAAUCUCAGUAGCGCGGUUAAAUUUGUGCGCAAAACUUUUUUGAAUUCAUGAAUGUCCGUUCUAAAAUGUAAAUACAUACAUGCAUACGUGCCGCUGCAUAUGCUUGGAAUUUUGAUGGCCAUUAUACCGACGCCAACCCAAGCUGGCACAUAUGCACAUACAUAUAUGUUCAUAAGCCUGUCGGCAACUGCCAAGAAUAUAAAAACACAAUUGCAAAUAAUCGAAUUUAACCAAUUGACAAGCCUCUACAGACAAUAUGUAUCAACAUUCAAAUUGCUAGCGAAUUAUAUAUUGUACACAUAUGAACACACUGGUCUGCUGGGUGGUUGCCCACCCAAAUUUGUUAGUGUAAAAAUUGGUAGAAAUCGUUCAGCUGGCACUUAUACAUAUACAUAUCCAAAUUUUCCCAACAAUUGUGACUGACACUGCUAAACUGAGCAUAAUUUUCCUGACUCUUUACCAAUUUAAAAUACAAUACACAAUCCAUAUUUUUGCUUGAUAACAUUUUGCUAGGUGAUCGUCGAUAUAUCGAUACAGUGACAGGCGUACUGACCUCAAACGAUAGUUUUCUCUCUGCCGCCACUAGGCGAUAGUCUCGAAAUUGUCAUAAGCUGCGAGUUGUCUCUAUAAAAUGGUCGUGAGUUUAAAAUUGGCGGAAAUUGAAAAAGUCAUCGAGCAAGUUGAAACUUAUUAAAACACUAAUAGUGGAAGCAUUUACUGCUGAUAUAAACCUAAAAGCGUGUUAAAUAAUCAAAUUAAGGUAUUCUAUGCAAAUUCCUCAAAAUAGUGCGUGAAAAAUUAUUUCACAAUAAUGAAAAUCAAAUGGUGGCUGCCUGCAAAAAUAAAUUCAUAAAUACAUAUAUAGUGAUCACUCAACCAAACUACGCCAUAUAGUUAAGAAAUCUGGAUCAAAAAAUUCCUCAAAUUAGUGUGUGAAUAAUUAUUUUGCAAUUAACAAAAUAACCGGUGUCCGUCUGUGAAUUGACAAGCAACAAAUUGAAGGCCUAAUUACCACCAAAAGUGAAAGACAUAUAAUAAAGACCAAAGUCCCAUUCAAAUCUGAGAAUAACUGGGGUAAGGCUCAAACCAAAAAAUUUUUACAUAUAUAACCCCAAAUUUGCCCAGUUGAGUCUCGAAAUGGAGCGCGCAUAAUAAUUUCAUCACAAGCGUCACCUAUACAUGCACAAACUUGCAGCUGCAGACAAUUUUGGCGACGGCCACAGCGGCGCCCUGCCAGACUGACGCACACACACACACACAAAUUUUCUAAGAAAUUUUCUACCCAACAUUGCCAGGCCUAAAAACCACAUACGGACAGAACUAUAUUCUACGCUAGCAUCUAUUAUUUACACUUUCUUAUUUUUUGCUAACUUUAAACAUUUUUGCAAAUUUAAAACAUACAAUUAAACAUUACUGCCAAGCGAUCAUCGAUACAUCGAUACAUAUACGCGCGCACUGAUCUCAAUACUAUACCUUCCACUUUGCCGUCACUAAGUGAUAUUCUUGAAAUUGUCAUGAGCUGCGAGUUGUGUACUACGAUAUGGUUGCGAAUGUGAAACUGUUCAAACUUAUAAAUACCCUAAUAGUGAAAAGCAUUUAAUGCUUAUAAGGAACUAAAGUACGAAUUAAACAAAUUUAGUGAAUUUCAAUCAAGUGUAAGUCUUUGAAACUAACAGUGCCUAUAAAAGCCCCAAAUAGCCGGUGUCUGUCUGUGUGUAAAUAGGCACAUAUGCAAUUAAUUGUAAGUGAAACAUAAUUCAGGGCUUCUGACAAGUGAAAUUUAGUCCUGCAUGUCCAAAAAGAGUCCCAAAAUAGUGUGUGCCAAGUGUGUCCACCUGCAUGAAUAAAUGCAUAUAUCCAAACACAAAUUUAAUCUAGUGAAUAAUCCACCAAAUUAUGCCAUACAACUCCAAUUUUGUCCAUAAAAGUCUGAAAAUAGUGCGCGAUCAAUUAUUCCACAAUUUUAGAGGAACCAAUUUAAAGGCCUAACAUUCCGACAAAAAGUGUAGAACAAUAAAUCAAGACCAAAAAUCCCAUUUAAAUUUGAGAAAAUCCGGGGUAAGUCUCGUACUAAACUUCUGCCAAAUAACCCCAAAUGAUUUGCCCAGAGGAGUCUCAAAAUGGCGUGCACAUAGCAAUUUCACCACUAGCGCCACGUAUACAUGCACAAACUUGCAGCUGCAGACAAUUUUGGCGACGACCAUUAUGGCGCCCGGUCAGACUGACGCGCAAUAUACCCAGAACAUUCCUUUUGGUCGGCAUUGCCAGGCCUAAAUUCUAACCUAAAUAAUAAUAUACUACAAUGAAUACUUGAAUGUUAUAUAAAACUUAUUAUACGCCUAUAUCUAUCCUUAAAUAAUAAUCUUAUAACCUUCUUGCAAAUUACGAAAUCUUAGUAGCGCGGUUAAAUUUGUGCGCAAAACUUUUUUGAAUUCAUGAAUGUCCGUUCUAAAAUGUAAAUACAUACAUGCAUACGUGCCGCUGCAUAUGCUUGGAAUUUUGAUGGCCAUUAUACCGACGCCAACCCAAGCUGGCACAUAUGCACAUACAUAUAUGUUCAUAAGCCUGUCGGCAACUGCCAAGAAUAUAAAAACACAAUUGCAAAUAAUCGAAUUUAACCAAUUGACAAGCCUCUACAGACAAUAUGUAUCAACAUUCAAAUUGCUAGCGAAUUAUAUAUUGUACACAUAUGAACACACUGGUCUGCUGGGUGGUUGCCCACCCAAAUUUGUUAGUGUAAAAAUUGGUAGAAAUCGUUCAGCUGGCACUUAUACAUAUACAUAUCCAAAUUUUCCCAACAAUUGUGACUGACACUGCUAAACUGAGCAUAAUUUUCCUGACUCUUUACCAAUUUAAAAUACAAUACACAAUCCAUAUUUUUGCUUGAUAACAUUUUGCUAGGUGAUCGUCGAUAUAUCGAUACAGUGACAGGCGUACUGACCUCAAACGAUAGUUUUCUCUCUGCCGCCACUAGGCGAUAGUCUCGAAAUUGUCAUAAGCUGCGAGUUGUCUCUAUAAAAUGGUCGUGAGUUUAAAAUUGGCGGAAAUUGAAAAAGUCAUCGAGCAAGUUGAAACUUAUUAAAACACUAAUAGUGGAAGCAUUUACUGCUGAUAUAAACCUAAAAGCGUGUUAAAUAAUCAAAUUAAGGUAUUCUAUGCAAAUUCCUCAAAAUAGUGCGUGAAAAAUUAUUUCACAAUAAUGAAAAUCAAAUGGUGGCUGCCUGCAAAAAUAAAUUCAUAAAUACAUAUAUAGUGAUCACUCAACCAAACUACGCCAUAUAGUUAAGAAAUCUGGAUCAAAAAAUUCCUCAAAUUAGUGUGUGAAUAAUUAUUUUGCAAUUAACAAAAUAACCGGUGUCCGUCUGUGAAUUGACAAGCAACAAAUUGAAGGCCUAAUUACCACCAAAAGUGAAAGACAUAUAAUAAAGACCAAAGUCCCAUUCAAAUCUGAGAAUAACUGGGGUAAGGCUCAAACCAAAAAAUUUUUACAUAUAUAACCCCAAAUUUGCCCAGUUGAGUCUCGAAAUGGAGCGCGCAUAAUAAUUUCAUCACAAGCGUCACCUAUACAUGCACAAACUUGCAGCUGCAGACAAUUUUGGCGACGGCCACAGCGGCGCCCUGCCAGACUGACGCACACACACACACACAAAUUUUCUAAGAAAUUUUCUACCCAACAUUGCCAGGCCUAAAAACCACAUACGGACAGAACUAUAUUCUACGCUAGCAUUUAUUAUUUACACUUUCUUAUUUUUUGCUAACUUUAAACAUUUUUGCAAAUUUAAAACAUACAAUUAAACAUUACUGCCAAGCGAUCAUCGAUACAUCGAUACAUAUACGCGCGCACUGAUCUCAAUACUAUACCUUCCACUUUGCCGUCACUAAGUGAUAUUCUUGAAAUUGUCAUGAGCUGCGAGUUGUGUACUACGAUACGGUUGCGAAUGUGAAACUGUUCAAACUUAUAAAUACCCUAAUAGUGAAAAGCAUUUAAUGCUUAUAAGGAACUAAAGUACGAAUUAAACAAAUUUAGUGAAUUUCAAUCAAGUGUAAGUCUUUGAAACUAACAGUGCCCAUAAAAGCCCCAAAUAGCCGGAGUCUGUCUGUGUGUAAAUAGGCACAUAUGCAAUUAAUUGUAAGUGAAACAUAAUUCAGGGCUUCUGACAAGUGAAAUUUAGUCCUGCAUGUCCAAAAAGAGUCCCAAAAUAGUGUGUGCCAAGUGUGUCCACCUGCAUGAAUAAAUGCAUAUAUCCAAACACAAAUUUAAUCUAGUGAAUAAUCCACCAAAUUAUGCCAUACAACUCCAAUUUUGUCCAUAAAAGUCUGAAAAUAGUGCGCGAUCAAUUAUUCCACAAUUUUAGAGGAACCAAUUUAAAGGCCUAACAUUCCGACAAAAAGUGUAGAACAAUAAAUCAAGACCAAAAAUCCCAUUUAAAUUUGAGAAAAUCCGGGGUAAGUCUCGUACUAAACUUCUGCCAAAUAACCCCAAAUGAUUUGCCCAGAGGAGUCUCAAAAUGGCGUGCACAUAGCAAUUUCACCACUAGCGCCACGUAUACAUGCACAAACUUGCAGCUGCAGACAAUUUUGGCGACGACCAUUAUGGCGCCCGGUCAGACUGACGCGCAAUAUACCCAGAACAUUCCUUUUGGUCGGCAUUGCCAGGCCUAAAUUCUAACCUAAAUAAUAAUAUACUACAAUGAAUACUUGAAUGUUAUAUAAAACUUAUUAUACGCCUAUAUCUAUCCUUAAAUAAUAAUCUUAUAACCUUCUUGCAAAUUACGAAAUCUCAGUAGCGCGGUUAAAUUUGUGCGCAAAACUUUUUUGAAUUCAUGAAUGUCCGUUCUAAAAUGUAAAUACAUACAUGCAUACGUGCCGCUGCAUAUGCUUGGAAUUUUGAUGGCCAUUAUACCGACGCCAACCCAAGCUGGCACAUAUGCACAUACAUAUAUGUUCAUAAGCCUGUCGGCAACUGCCAAGAAUAUAAAAACACAAUUGCAAAUAAUCGAAUUUAACCAAUUGACAAGCCUCUACAGACAAUAUGUAUCAACAUUCAAAUUGCUAGCGAAUUAUAUAUUGUACACAUAUGAACACACUGGUCUGCUGGGUGGUUGCCCACCCAAAUUUGUUAGUGUAAAAAUUGGUAGAAAUCGUUCAGCUGGCACUUAUACAUAUACAUAUCCAAAUUUUCCCAACAAUUGUGACUGACACUGCUAAACUGAGCAUAAUUUUCCUGACUCUUUACCAAUUUAAAAUACAAUACACAAUCCAUAUUUUUGCUUGAUAACAUUUUGCUAGGUGAUCGUCGAUAUAUCGAUACAGUGACAGGCGUACUGACCUCAAACGAUAGUUUUCUCUCUGCCGCCACUAGGCGAUAGUCUCGAAAUUGUCAUAAGCUGCGAGUUGUCUCUAUAAAAUGGUCGUGAGUUUAAAAUUGGCGGAAAUUGAAAAAGUCAUCGAGCAAGUUGAAACUUAUUAAAACACUAAUAGUGGAAGCAUUUACUGCUGAUAUAAACCUAAAAGCGUGUUAAAUAAUCAAAUUAAGAUCCAGCAAACGAAACUUGCAAUUUGUUCCACACAACAAUUUAACAUCUAAAAAAAACUCUUAAGAGGAUAAGCAAAGGAUAAACAGCUCAGCCAACAUGAGCGCAACUGGCAACCAAAACCAACCAAUACCCUACAUAAUUGUCCCAAAUGUUGAAAACGCGGAAAAACUUAUAAAAAUGGCAGAAAUAGAAGUGGGUAAAACUGGCUUUUACACCACUACCACCAAAAGUGACGGAAUAAGAUUCAAAUGUGACACCAUGGAAAAGCACAAGGCCCUAUUAGAAUUUUGCACCAAACUACACAGCAGUACGUUCGUCAAGAGCAGCCUGCAUGAGCCAAAAAGAUACAGGAUUAUCAUAAAAGGACUCCAUUCAUCCACAUCCCCAGAUUGGAUAAAGUACAAACUCGCAGCACAUGGACAUACAGUACUAUACUGCAAAAACUUAAUUGGCCAAAAGUCACAAACCCCAACAAAUACAUUUCGAGUUGACCUUGAAUACAAAGAAAACAAUAACGAAAUAAUGGACAUUAAUAAAAUCGGCACCUACAUAGUAAAUAUUGAAAAAUCUAUUGCACACACCAGCAUAAUAAAACAAUGCCACAAGUGCCAAAAAUUCAACCACCAAACCGAAGACUGCAAGAGCCGUGAAUUCGUCUGCUAUAAAUGUGCAGGCAAGCACCACUCGGCAGAAUGCUCAAAGCCCAGAGAAAAGGAAGGGAAAUGCGCAAAUUGUGGCGGAAACCACAUUGCCACAUACCAAGGAUGCCCAAUCUAUAAAGAAGCACUUGAAAACUACGAGACCCAACCCAGCACACCCAAAAAACAAAGCCACAACCAAAUGAACAAUGCUACUCCACUACUAUCACCACCAAGGCCCAAAAACGCACCCAGAAGACAAUAUGACCUACUGGAACAGCUAGAAUUACUGAAAAUAUUCGAAAAAAA
This is a non-coding RNA of Drosophila virilis, 21496 nucleotides long. NCBI's taxonomy places the organism in Eukaryota, Metazoa, Arthropoda, Insecta, Diptera, Drosophilidae. The record is from RefSeq and is a predicted model, not a curated record.